This 254-nucleotide ribosomal RNA is filed under the name uncultured bacterium. RNAcentral describes it as "partial 16S ribosomal RNA". It matches the Rfam family "Bacterial small subunit ribosomal RNA", at positions 524 to 777 of the family's 1533-position model. The record is from RNAcentral.
UACGAAGGGGGCUAGCGUUGCUCGGAAUUACUGGGCGUAAAGCGCACGUAGGCGGUCUUUUAAGUCGGGGGUGAAAUCCUGGAGCUCAACUCCAGAACUGCCUUCGAUACUGGAAGACUCGAGUCCGGGAGAGGUGAGUGGAACUCCUAGUGUAGAGGUGAAAUUCGUAGAUAUUAGGAAGAACACCAGUGGCGAAGGCGGCUCACUGGUCCGGUACUGACGCUGAGGUGCGAAAGCGUGGGGAGCAAACAGGG